Long non-coding RNA from Sarcophilus harrisii (Tasmanian devil), 1296 nucleotides. RefSeq lists it as uncharacterized. The transcript has 3 exons. The record is from RefSeq and is a predicted model, not a curated record. Lineage: Eukaryota; Metazoa; Chordata; Mammalia; Dasyuromorphia; Dasyuridae.
CUAGAUUCCACACAAUUCCACAGAAUGAGGGCCAGUGCCUUGUCCCCUCAUCAAGGCCCUGCCCAAUAUCCAACUUCCACCAAGGCCACGCCCCGCCCAGACUCUGCUCAAUUCCUAAGAAUGACAGUCGGCCCCCCUCAACUUCCCAUCUCUAACAGACUAACACCCGCCCCCUAGGCUCCGCCCAAUAAGCAAUUAUUUACCCUGGCGCCCCACCCCCUCACCCAAGCCCCGCCCCAUCCAUGUCCCAACACACAAACUGAAGCCCAUUCUCUCCCCAUCAAACUCCCCAGCAGUUGCUGGACCUUCCAGCUGUGUGAAAGUACUCGUCUGGUGAGCUGUGGAUUGGGUGGCCCUGCAAACAAGGCUCACUUCCGGGAUAAAGCUUUGGGGGCCCAGAAGCAAGAUGCAUUUCCGGGAGGGUGGGACAACGGCGCAGAGACAACAAAAGUAUUUUCGUGGGCUAACCCUGUUCCUUGAUUCACUAGGCUUUCUUUAGAGGGGAAGACGGGGUUCUCGUCAGACCCCUGUGCCAUUUCCCGACAUCCCCCUGCGUUCCCAGUGCCAUUUCCCGACAUCCCCCUGCGUUCCCAGUGCCAUUUCCCGACAUCCCCCUGCGUUCCCAGUGCCAUUUCCCGACAUCCCCCUGUGUACCCAGUGCCAUUUCCCGACAUCCCCCUGUGUACCCAGUGCCAUUUCCCGACAUCCCCCUGCGUUCCCAGUGCCAUUUCCCGACAUCCCUCUGCGUACCCAGUGCCAUUUCCCGACAUCCCCCUGUGUAAUAUCAGAGAAACUGAUGCAAGCAGAGAUUGGUUUUUAAUCUUUAACGUGGAGAGUUUAAGCUAGCUGACUGGAUAGGACUCUUGUCCAAAGCUUUCAGUGCAGGGUUGGUUCUGUUCCAGGCUACAGGAGGCAGGAUUAAGAUUAUCAACAUUCUGGAAUCUGUGAGCCAUCUCCCAGCCAUUUGAUCUAAUAUUGUUCUUACUUGAUGUGGGACACUUACUAUAACACUGCCUCCAAAGAUCAAGCAGCCUCUUCUGGAUCAUAAUGAAGCCUGAGCAAGUCAAGAUGAUACAAGGUGAUUACGUUUUCACAUCCCCAAAUCCAAAGGCUGAUAUUUCUCAUUAUUUCAAACUGGCAUCUUUUUGCCCUGACCAUCUGUUAAAAUAUCUUCUGUUUCAAUGCUUUUUGGUCAUUCCACAUGCUUAGAGACCCCCAUGUUGUUCAAUAUUUGCCCAGGCUUUUUAGGAAUUAAAGAUCACCUUUAACCAAUUGAGCUUUUUAGGCUUUUCUUUU